This 465-nucleotide RNase P RNA is filed under the name Ignavibacteriales bacterium. Its description in RNAcentral is "RNase P RNA component class A". It matches the Rfam family "Bacterial RNase P class A". From Rfam's summary of the family: Ribonuclease P (RNase P) is a ubiquitous endoribonuclease, found in archaea, bacteria and eukarya as well as chloroplasts and mitochondria. Its best characterised activity is the generation of mature 5'-ends of tRNAs by cleaving the 5'-leader elements of precursor-tRNAs. Cellular RNase Ps are ribonucleoproteins. Lineage: Bacteria; Pseudomonadati; Ignavibacteriota; Ignavibacteria; Ignavibacteriales. The record is from RNAcentral.
UGAUUCAGGCAAGGCGAUUGCCGAUCGGGACAUGAGCUCGGUCGGAGGAAAGUCCGAACUCCGCGGAACGGGACGCCGGGUAACGCCCGGACGCCGAUCGGGAAACCGCUCGGCGAUGGAAAGCGCCACAGAAAAGACACCGCCCUUUGGCGCGGCUCGCCGCGUCGGGGGUAAGGGUGAAAAGGCGGGUUAAGAGCCCACCGCUCCGUCGGCGACGGCGGAGGUCCCGAUUCGGGAAACCCUAUCGGGAUCGGUCGUUCUCGGACGAUCGACAAGGCAAGCCCCGUUCGGAGCAAGACCAAGCGGAAAGCCGUCCCCUCAAGGGCGGGAGUUGUUCGCUCCCUCGGCUUUCGGGUGGGUCGCUAAAGUCGCCGGAGCAAUCCGACGACGAAGAUAAAUAAUCGCCGCGCCUCCGAGCGUUCCUCGCGAGGCGAACAGAAUUCGGCUUAUCGCCCGAAUCCAUCC